CUGCCAGGGGGCGUCAGUGGCCGGCGCCUCGACCAGCUCGAAGCUGGUCUUGGUUUCUUCCAGGCGCGGAUCGUCGUGGCGCAGGCGCUC
Molecule: transfer RNA, 90 nt
Filed under: Achromobacter anxifer
Lineage: Bacteria; Pseudomonadati; Pseudomonadota; Betaproteobacteria; Burkholderiales; Alcaligenaceae
Description: tRNA-Ser
Source: RNAcentral